Molecule: long non-coding RNA, 6819 nt
Filed under: Xyrichtys novacula (pearly razorfish)
Lineage: Eukaryota; Metazoa; Chordata; Actinopteri; Labriformes; Labridae
Source: RNAcentral
GGGGAAGAAUCGCUCAUUCAUCCUCUUACUCUGCUUAUAAUCUAGACCUUAAAAACUUAUGUAACGAACGUGUCGUGUUCAAGUGCGAGAAAAUGAGGUUUAACCCACGCAAAGUUAAGAGGGAGAUUGGACAUCCGAGUCAAAGAGAGAGAUACAAAACAGCAUUGUAAAAAAAAAAAACAGUGAAUAUGACUUUAUGAUCUAUCUUGGGGCUUUUGGUCUUGAUUUGGAGAGGACGGGAUGGUGGGCAGAGCAGGAAACAGGAGAGGGGAACAGAGACCUAAAGCAGAACCAGACUCAUGUUAGACAGUCAUCUGACGCUACUGUUUAGAGAGAAAGAUGGACAGAGGUGAGACUGAUGCAGUUAGAGCAGGCAGGUCCAGGACAGCAAACGUCUGCAGCAGCAUUCCAGAGGAAACUACAGCAUGAUGGAGCUCACAGACUCCCAGAAAAGACUGUUUUAGUGACUCUAACAGGACAAUUCUUUUAAAACUCUUUUAAUCGUUUUUAUAGCCCUCAGUGGUCUUACCCCUCUGUACCUGUCAGAGCUCCUGCAUCACCACUCAGUUGCUUUUGGACGUCCCUAAAACUAAACUUAAAUCUAGAGGUGACGGGGCUUUUUCAGCGGUCGCCCCCAGACUCUGGAACAGUCGACAUGGUCAUAUUAGAGCCUCACAGACCCUACAGACUUUAAAUCAUCCUUUAAGACCUACUUUUUUCUCAAGUGCGUUUCAUGAAUGAGCAGACACGAAUCAUAGGCACUGUAGCUUUUAUUCUUUGACUGUCUGUAUUUUAUUUCACUCUUUUUAUGUUAUUGUUUUAUUGUAAUUUAUCGAUUUAUUUACUUCUUUUAUUUAUCCUAUGUAAAGCACUUUGACUGCUGUCUUCUUAAAGGUGCUUCAUAGAUAAACUUGACUUGACAGGAUGAUUCAAAGUUAUUGACACAGACAGAAACCCCUCAUCUAAAAACCUGAACUAUCCCUUUAAGUAGCCUAAAAUGUAUUGGUGCCAUUUCUGACAUAUUUAUGCUGCAUUUACAAUCUGAUAUCCAUCUGCAUUAUCCUCGAUUGAAGGCUAAUACCAAUGUUAGCAUGGGUUUAUCAAACAAACUGGGAUUAAGAGAUGAUUUCUUCAACUGGUAACAUUGAAACUGUACAUUUUAGCUGCCUUGCUAACUUUCCUUCAAUAAGUAAACUCCAGUCUUAUAACUCUUUUUUGAGACUCCAGAAAACUGACUCUCAUAGGGCUGGGUGAUAUGGCCUCAAAUCAAUAUCACAAUAUAUUGAUCAGUUCACCUCGAUAACGAUAAAUGGACGAUAACUACUCCACAAGCUGUUCACCCCCGCUCCAACUUUUGAACCGUCCUCCAUCUCCUCACCUGUCUUUCCCUCUUUGUUACAGACUGGAUGGGGUGGAGUCACGUCUCUGAUGUAGGACAGCGUCUUAAAGGGACAUGAGACCAUAGCCUACCUACACACAUCCAAAACCAAAUUUUGAUUUAUUGAUUUUUUGGACACCAAAUAUAUUGAUAUGGUCAAAAUGACGUUGGUUAUUGUCAUAAAUUUCAGUAUCAGUAAAUUUUCGGUUUAUCGCCCAGCCCUAAAAACCCCUCAUCAAAAAACUUGAACUAUCCCUUUAAGUCGCCUAUGCUGGAUUGUAGGCUUAUAUCAAUAACUGGUAAACAUUGCUAACUUUCCUGAACUCCUGUCUCAUAACUCUUUUUGAGACUCCGGCUAACUGACUCUUAUUCCUGCGUUUUAAUGAUGGAGGUCCAGGUGUUGAGUAGCCGUUAGCUCAGCGUAAAGAGUAUUGAUAGGGCUUGUCCUGGUUGUUGUACUCAGUGUGUAGCUCCUGUAGCUCUGUUUCAAACAGUCUGUCUGGUAGAAUUGAGCAUUGUGUCGGUCUGUUGAACAUAAAAGUGAGUGAAACUCGUGUCAGCGGCUGUUGGAGAGCAGGAAUGUUUCUCUGGAGGACGAGCAGCGACGGUUACAGCCGUUGCUCUGCUUACGUCUGCUUCUCUCUCUCUCUCUUUGUCUGUUUCUCUUUAUUAAUCUGUUCCUCCGAUUCUCACCGCUCAGCCGCUCCAUUUCUGUCAUUUCAUUUCUGCCGCUCCAUUUCUCCAUUUCCCUCCCUCUCUGUUUUAUAUCAGUCCUUUUUUUUGUUACAAACACUCACACAGAUCUCUGUUCACGCAGAGCCCUGUCCAUGAAAAUCCCGGUGGUGGUGAUAAAUCAGGACAGUCAGGCCUCCAGCAUCCCUGCCUGGUCUGAUUCAGCUGCUGCACGCUGUCACAGGAAGAGACGCCGGCCAAGAGCUCAGCAUGGACACGUGUGUGUGUAUAAAAGUGUAAAAAACUUUGCUGCACUCUGAACUAUUUAAUCGGAAUAUUAGAAACUGAACCGGCCUGUUAAUGCUCGGCCUCUCUCCCUUGGCUUUUUGGACACAAACUGAACGAGGACAUUUUUUCACCACCUUUCAAGAUUUUUAAAUAGAAAAUCACAGAAUCCAAAAGUUGUGAGUGACUAACCGUGUCAGGGUGUGAAUGUGUGUUUCUGCACUUGUAAAAAUGCCUCAGCGAGGGUUUCAUCAGGACGUGAUCUCACUCUCUCCGCUGCUUCUCUCUCUUUCAAAGCUCUCUGUUUCUCCUCAUAGAGCUCUAAUGACACAGUGCGGCUUUGAAGCUCCAUUCAGACUCUAUUUAUAAAACCGCUCGUCGUUUCGGUGGCACUGACUCACUGACUUUAAACACUCGUACUCCAAAAAACAAAGAAAGAAACAGCAGCACCAGGGCUCAAAGACUUCCACACACUCUCUACCAUAUACCAAAGAACCGCAGGGGAUUCUGGGAAGGUUUUUAACCUCUUCCUGGCUGUGUUGCUGUGGAGACGAGGGUUCAGGAAGUGGGAUUCUGCCAGCGGUCUAGCCAGGGGCCAGCAGCAGGAGGAGAGACGAAGAGGAGGAGAAGGAGGAGGAGGAGGUUUUUUGGCAGCAGCAGCUCAGAUGGAAAUCCCAGCAGUCAUGUCGGACUCACACGUCGCCCACAGAAACAUUCCCACCCUGUGACCAGCGCUCAGGUCACUACACCGUUAAUCUGCUGUCAGAGGCUCGCUGACAGGCAGCAGGAGUUUGUUGGCCUUGUACAAAGUGCUCACAGUUGAAGCUGGCGGUUUGCUGACAGGGUUUUCUGAAACGCCAGAGUGACCGUUUUUAUUUCUGACUGUGUGUGGAAAAACUUUCAUGGUCGAAGAGUUAGGGCCUGUGUCCACUACUGGCAGUCCCUGUUCCUCACACAACAUUAAACAAAAGGUGCAAAAACACCUCAAGCUGUUCUCACCUACUUCUGCUCUCAACUGAAAAGAGUUCAACUUUUGAACAGUGGUGUUUUUCUUUUAGUUAACUGUCUUAGUCUAGAGCUGCUAAUAAGACAACACCACUUCUGUCAGCUGAAGUUUUUAGAGAAUAAAAAAAAAAGAACUAACGUCCUCCAGUAACCCACCAAACAUCAGAUGUCGAAGAGACAUGCAGAUCAAGUCAGAAUCGGGUCGGUCCGUCAAAGACCACAUGGAGACGUCAGUGCGACAUGCAACUUCCUUUUUUAGACGUCGCUCUGACGUUUAGAAUUUGGACGUCAUCUGAAGACCAAAUCUUCAGACGUCCACACAACGUGCAAAAUAAAUCCAAGAUUUAGACGCCAUUAUUGGACCUCUUUUAUACGUUGAAAUGACGUCCACAUUUGUACCUCAUCGAAAAAAUACGUUGAAUAGAUGUCAUUUUGACGUCACAUUGGGCAGUGGGAAAGGAAGUAGAAGCGCUGUGGGACAACUGCCAUAACCGAGCAUAGGUGAUCUUUAGUGAGAGGUACUGCCAAUCAGGGCUGUCAAUGAAUAUUCUUAAUUCAAAUAUAUAUUCAAAUACUUAGAAAAAUGACAUUCUAAUGCGAAUAAUUCGAACAUUAAAUAGACUGCCGUAAAAUUUGGAGGGAGAAAAACUAAGAAAAAAAAAAACAGCGGCUGCUUUGCAAGUGUAAACGACGGGUCAGGGACAGGUCACAGGAGCUGCACCUGCUGUGAGACUCGACAAAAAAUGACUGUGGCACCUGCAGAGAGAGAUGGAGGGAUGUUCGGAGAGAGUGGUCUGGACUCCAACAAACUUUUGAGGCUCUGUUUGGUAAUUCUUCGGAUUUUGGGCAGACACGCCAGACGGAAAAAUGCUGAGCGAGAUUAAGUUAUACGCAAGCUGUGUACGCUAGAUGUUCGAAUAUAUUCAAACCUAUGUGUUAUUUUUAGAACAAAUAUUUGAACAUCAUUUUGACAGCUCUAGUUGUCAGGGUUGAUCGAAUACAAGAAAUUUUUAUGACAUCAGCUUUUACAAAAACAGUGAUUGCUGAGCUCUGAAUGCAGAGAAACUGCACUUGUAACUGUCUAGUUUAGAGAUGCUAAUAAGACAACAGCAUUUCUGUCCAUUUCUUAACAUAUCUCAGCAAAAUCCUUCUAAAUGAAGCAAAUUUGAAGUUUUUAGAGAAUAAAAAAAAGACCUAAUGUCCUCAAGUAAAGGAAGCUGAAGUGUUGCGGGAUAACUGCCAUAACCGGGCAUAGGUGAGCCUGAGUGAGAGGGACUGCCAAUGCAAACAACUUCCUAAGUGGACACAGGCCCUGAUGUGUAUUUAGGCGUAAUUGUGGGAAAAGCUGAUUUGACUGACAGUUGUAGUUGUUGGAAGUGUGCUAAGGAAAGCAGUCAGUAUUUCCACCGUCUUUGGGUUCCAUAACACCUCCUCUGAGUAAACGAGUGACGUCCAUAUCCUAAAAUAUAUAGGAGAGGGUCACUUUUGAAGGACUCGUCUGUCACUGACUCGAGUUAACUUUUUCACUCUGUUAGGUACGGAUAAAGAUCAUGAAGGAUUUACUUUUAAAGACACGAACGCAGCCCUCUGAAGAAUUUAUUGAACAAUCAAAAGUAGAGAGCGAAUUCAUCAGUCCUGUCAGCUUGAGUGAAGCUCGUUAAAGACGAUCCCUGCCCUGCUGAAGAGCCAGUAACAGCCUUUUCAUUCUGUAUUGAUUACAUGAUGGACAGAUCAGAGCAUCAGGUCCCCAGGGUUCAAACACACUCACACAUGCUUUUGUUCAUGCUUACACAGCAAGUAUUUAGUGUGUUUUAUUUUCUUCAUCAUGAAAAAAUAGGGACGGGAUUUUAACUCAGUGUUAAUAAAGGGUUUGAUAUGAAAGAAGGAGAUAAUUGAGAGGAAGAGUUAAAGACAAAGACUUGUAACGAGUCGAGUGCAGCUCCCCUCCGUCUGUCUGUCUUCCCUCUGUAUUGACUCUUCUUUAAAAAUAGCAACACGAGGCGAGCUUUGAAACCUCAUCCCCCCUCUUUCUCUCCCUUCAGCCGGUGCUUCUCGGCUCAGUUAAGUCUCUUGAAUCAUCUCAGCGAAAAAAAAAAAAAACUCUUGUUCUUUUCCAUCUUUUAAUCCAAGCAUGGAGUCAUCCUCUCUGACUUCAUCGAUAUCAUCAAUAAUUUCUCCUGAAACAUGACGUAAUCUGUGCAGACUUGAACUUACUUUGACUUUUCGUUCUUGUUGUGCUUGUUUGCAUAUAUUUGUUUACAAUGAAUUAUUGGAAAAGUUGUGUGAUGCUUGAAAUAAUCCUGUGGGAACAUUUUCAAACUAAUUAGUAGCUCAACAUUUUCUGGAUUAUGCUCAUAGACUGUAUAUAGAAUGGACACGUCUGCCUCCUCACUGGGAGGAGACACCGCGAGAACAGCACCAUCUGGUGACAGGCUGCAGUAUAGGUCAUAAAUCCCGCCUCCUCCAGUAAUCCCUAUGGAGCUGUGGACAAACUUCAUAAAUUUAUUACACAGAAUAUAAAUGUUUCUCCCCCUGGUUGUGAUGUUGACAUGUAGUUACUGUCAGACUGGUUUGUGCUCAAGUCCUCUAUUUUCUGUACAGCUCCAUUUUUAAAAGUUAUUAGAGGGUUCAUGUUUUCUAUGAUUGACACCUGAUACAGCCUAUGGACAAAUAUGGUGUAGCUCACCCAGGGGAUACCCUGUCUGAGCCGAAUGCUACCGUGCCAGCGGUGGUUCCAAGAAGUGGAAAAAACAUGGAAAUCCAGAGAGCAAUUCGGCUUUAAAUUCAUAUACUGGUGGAAGGCAGAGCCAUGUUCUCCAUAGAUAUACAUUCUAUGGUUAUAGAGCUGUAAAAUUACAAAUAAUUUGAGGAUUUAUUAUGUUUUUAAAGAAUCAAAGAAUCUGGAGAAACCUUUGCACUGAAUAGACAAAGACUAAAAACAGACAUGACUCUGUAAUAGUGAAAAUCACCACAUUGAUAUCCUAGUGUCUGUAAACGAAGCUUUUCUGUGUUUUCACAAAUGUAGAAUCGGGGUGUAAAACUGUACCAUACCAAGAGAAAAAGAAGAAGAAGAAGAAGGAGGAUGUAUGUUAGGGCUGGGCGAUAAAACAAAAAUUUACUGAUACUUAAAUUUACAGCAAUAACUGACGUCACUUUGCCCAUGUCAAUAUAUUUUGUGUCAAAAUAGAUAAAUAAAUCAAAGUUGGUUUUGGGUGUGUGAGGGUAGGCUAUGGUCUCAUGUCCCUUUAAGACGCUAUCCUACGUCAGAGACGUGACUCCACCCCAUCCAGUCCAUAACAAAGAGGGAAAGACAGGUGAGGAGAUGGAGGACGGUUCAAAAGUUGUAGCGGCUGAAGUAGACGAAGUUAAUGUGGGAGGGGGUGAGCAGCUUGUGGAGUAGUUAUCGUCCAUUUAUCGUUAUCGAGUUGAACUGAUCAAUAAAUCAUGAUAUUGGUUUGAGGCCAUAUCGCCCAGCCCUA